UUUAAAGAUUUAUCACUUGAAGAUGGGCGUGCGUCUGAUUAGGUAGUUGGUGAGGUAACGGCUCACCAAGCCGACGAUCAGUAACUGGCGUGAGAGCGCGACCAGUCACACGGGCACUGAGACACGGGCCCGACUCCUACGGGAGGCAGCAGUAAGGAAUAUUGGUCAAUGGACGCAAGUCUGAACCAGCCAUGCCGCGUGGAGGAUGAAGGCCCUCUGGGUUGUAAACUUCUUUUAUUUGGGACGAAACACUUCUUUUCUAARGAGCUUGACGGUACCAGAUGAAUAAGCACCGGCUAACUCCGUGCCAGCAGCCGCGGUAAUACGGAGGGUGCAAGCGUUAUCCGGAUUCACUGGGUUUAAAGGGUGCGUAGGCGGACAUGUAAGUCCGUGGUGAAAUCUCCGAGCUUAACUYGGAAACUGCCAUGGAUACUAUAUGUCUUGAAUGUUGUGGAGGUUAGCGGAAUAUGUCAUGUAGCGGUGAAAUGCAUAGAUAUGACAUAGAACACCAAUUGCGAAGGCAGCUGGCUACACAAAUAUUGACGCUGAGGCACGAAAGCGUGGGGAUCAAACAGGAUUAGAUACCCUGGUAGUCCACGCCCUAAACGAUGAUUACUCGACAUACGCGAUACACAGUGUGUGUCUGAGCGAAAGCAUUAAGUAAUCCACCUGGGAAGU
Molecule: ribosomal RNA, 678 nt
Filed under: Chitinophaga sp. FDR45.7
Lineage: Bacteria; Pseudomonadati; Bacteroidota; Chitinophagia; Chitinophagales; Chitinophagaceae
Description: bacterial SSU rRNA
Rfam family: Bacterial small subunit ribosomal RNA
Source: RNAcentral